UGGGGAAUAUUGCACAAUGGGCGCAAGCCUGAUGCAGCCAUGCCGCGUGUGUGAAGAAGGCCUUCGGGUUGUAAAGCACUUUCAGCGAGGAGGAAGGUGGUGAGCUUAAUACGCUCAUCAAUUGACGUUACUCGCAGAAGAAGCACCGGCUAACUCCGUGCCAGCAGCCGCGGUAAUACGGAGGGUGCAAGCGUUAAUCGGAAUUACUGGGCGUAAAGCGCACGCAGGCGGUUUGUUAAGUCAGAUGUGAAAUCCCCGGGCUCAACCUGGGAACUGCAUUUGAAACUGGCAAGCUAGAGUCUCGUAGAGGGGGGUAGAAUUCCAGGUGUAGCGGUGAAAUGCGUAGAGAUCUGGAGGAAUACCGGUGGCGAAGGCGGCCCCCUGGACGAAGACUGACGCUCAGGUGCGAAAGCGUGGAGAGCAAAACAGGAUUAGAUACCCUGGUAGUCCACGCUGUAAAACGAUGUCGAUUUUGGAGGUUGUGCCCUUGAGGCGUGGCUUCCGGAGCUAACGCGUUAAAUCGACCGCCUGGGGAGUACGGCCGCAAGGUUAAAACUCAAAUGAAUUGAC
This 570-nucleotide ribosomal RNA is filed under the name uncultured bacterium. Its description in RNAcentral is "partial 16S ribosomal RNA". It matches the Rfam family "Bacterial small subunit ribosomal RNA", at positions 355 to 914 of the family's 1533-position model. The record is from RNAcentral.